GAAAUGCGAUACGUAAUGUGAAUUGCAGAUUUCAGUGAAUCAUCGAAUCUUUGAACGCACAUGGCGCUCCUGGGCAUGCCUAGGAGCAUGCCUGUUCGAGUAUCGUUUCAUUACCUUUCCUUUCAUUCAAACACCCUUUGAGUGAAACGGGAGUACUGCCCAUUCCAUGCGCUCUGCUCGCGUGGAUUGGUAGUGAAAUGUAUGCCUGAUCCAAACUCUCCAUUGGAUGCCAAUCUUGUUGUGGGAUGUAUUUCACAUACAAAAUUGCUGCAGCCAUCGUGUGGGAGUCUGGAUUAUCAGGUUUCUCACAAUGAUGAGGUGACCAAGCCUCGUCGCACACCCUAUCCACACACGAUCUCGAAUCAGGCAAGGCUACCCGCUGAACUUAA
Molecule: unclassified non-coding RNA, 389 nt
Filed under: uncultured Geoglossaceae
Lineage: Eukaryota; Fungi; Ascomycota; Geoglossomycetes; Geoglossales; Geoglossaceae
Description: sequence contains ITS1
Rfam family: 5.8S ribosomal RNA (bases 1-105)
Source: RNAcentral